Molecule: ribosomal RNA, 502 nt
Filed under: uncultured bacterium
Lineage: Bacteria
Description: bacterial SSU rRNA
Rfam family: Bacterial small subunit ribosomal RNA
Source: RNAcentral
AGCGAACGUUUGCGGCGGGCUCAACACAUGCAAGUCGAACGAGAAUCCCUUCGGGGAGGAAAGUGGCGCACGGGUGCGUAACACGUGGAUAACCAACCCAUUGGUUUGGGACAACACCGGGAAACUGGUGCUAAUACCAGAUGUGUCGCAGCUGUCUUCAGGCGGUUGCGAGAAAGGCCCGCAAGGGUCGCCAACGGACGGGUCCGCGUCCCAUCAGCUAGUUGGUGAGGUAAUGGCUCACCAAGGCAAAGACGGGUAGCUGGUCUGAGAGGAUGAUCAGCCACACUGGAACUGAGACACGGUCCAGACUCCUACGGGAGGCAGCAGUGGGGAAUAUUGCGCAAUGGGCGAAAGCCUGACGCAGCCACGCCGCGUGAGCGAUGAAGGUCUUCGGAUCGUAAAGCUCUGUGGGGGGAGAAGAAGAAAGCCGGUGAAGAGCCGGCCCUGACGGUAUCCCCUUAGCAAGCACCGGCUAACUCCGUGCCAGCAGCCGCGGUAAAGU